This 499-nucleotide ribosomal RNA is filed under the name uncultured bacterium. Its description in RNAcentral is "bacterial SSU rRNA". It matches the Rfam family "Bacterial small subunit ribosomal RNA", at positions 31 to 518 of the family's 1533-position model. The record is from RNAcentral.
GAACGCUAGCGACAGGCUUAACACAUGCAAGGUCGAGGGGCAGCACGGGAGUAGCAAUACUUGGUGGCGACCGGCGCACGGGUGAGUAACGCGUAUGCAACCUACCUAUCGAGAGGGGAAUAACCCGGCGAAAGUCGGACUAAUACCGCAUAAAACAGGGGCACCGCAUGGUGAUAUUUGUUAAAGAAAUUCGCUGAUAGAUAGGCAUGGCGUUCCAUUAGGUAGUUGGUGAGGUAACGGCUCACCAAGCCGACGAUGGAUAGGGGAACUGAGAGGUUGGUCCCCCACCACUGGUACUGAGACACGGACCAGACUCCUACGGGAGGCAGCAGUGAGGAAUAUUGGUCAAUGGGCGGGAGCCUGAACCAGCCAAGUCGCGUGAAAGGAAGAAGGAUCUAUGGUUCGUAAACUUCUUUUGCAGGGGAAUAAAGUGCAGGACGUGUCCUGUUUUGUAUGUACCCUGAGAAUAAGGAUCGGCUAACUCCGUGCCAGCCGCAGC